Molecule: ribosomal RNA, 423 nt
Filed under: uncultured bacterium
Lineage: Bacteria
Description: bacterial SSU rRNA
Rfam family: Bacterial small subunit ribosomal RNA
Source: RNAcentral
AAGACCUUGCACUUUUGGAGCGGCCGAUGUCUGAUUAGCUAGUUGGUGGGGUAAUGGCCUACCAAAGCUUCGAUCAGUAGCUGGUCUGAGAGGACGGCCAGCCACACUGGGACUGAGACACGGCCCAGACUCCUACGGGAGGCAGCAGUGGGGAAUUUUGGACAAUGGGCGCAAGCCUGAUCCAGCCAUGCCGCGUGAGUGAAGAAGGCCUUCGGGUUGUAAAGCUCUUUCAGCCGGGAAGAAAAGGUUGCGAUUAAUAAUCGCAAUUUAUGACGGUACCGGAAGAAGAAGCACCGGCUAACUACGUGCCAGCAGCCGCGGUAAUACGUAGGGUGCGAGCGUUAAUCGGAAUUACUGGGCGUAAAGGGUGCGCAGGCGGUUUUGUAAGUCAGAUGUGAGAUCCCCGGGCUUAACCUGGGAACU